GACGAACGCUGGCGGCGUGCUUAACACAUGCAAGUCGAAUGGAAAGGCCCUGCUUUUGUGGGGUGCUCGAGUGGCGAACGGGUGGGUAACACGUGAGUAACCUGCCCUUGACUUUGGGAUAACUUCAGGAAACUGGGGCUAAUACCGGAUAGGAGCUCCUGCUGCAUGGUGGGGGUUGGAAAGUUUCGGCGGUUGGGGAUGGACUCGCGGCUUAUCAGCUUGUUGGUGGGGUAGUGGCUUACCAAGGCUUUGACGGGUAGCCGGCCUGAGAGGGUGGCCGGCCACAUUGGGACUGAGAUACGGCCCAGACUCCUACGGGAGGCAGCAGUGGGGAAUAUUGCACAAUGGGCGGAAGCCUGAUGCAGCAACGCCGCGUGCGGGAUGACGGCCUUCGGGUUGUAAACCGCUUUCGCCUGUGACGAAGCGUGAGUGACGGUAAUGGGUAAAGAAGCACCGGCUAACUACGUG
RNAcentral lists this ribosomal RNA (468 nucleotides) under uncultured bacterium. Its description in RNAcentral is "partial 16S ribosomal RNA". It matches the Rfam family "Bacterial small subunit ribosomal RNA", at positions 28 to 507 of the family's 1533-position model. The record is from RNAcentral.